UACUAUACAUCUUAUCCUCACGGCAUCACACAGUCCUCUAACUCUCUCAGCUCGAGCCUGAUCCCGUCCCUGCCGCUUCCCGUCCAUAGACGGCGUCGCCGCAUUCUUGUCUCCCCUCCACGGCGUCGGCCGGCCCCUCCUCUCCCAGCCAUCUCUCCUCCAUGUCGCGCGCCGAGCCCGUCCUCCCUUCCCUCGAUGGCUUCGUCCGCAUCCUCCUCCGACUGCCACGGUGGCUCGAUUGGUUCGAUCCACCGCCAUCCACGCCCGACAGGUUAUUCCGACGAUGGGGCGGCGGCGAAGCUUAGCGCGAUGACAGAGCCUUCCUCCAGCUCUACCAAGAAACCCUCGCUCUCCGUCCGUCUUCCUCCCUUUGCCAGCACCACCUAGCGUCGCCAUGGUCGGUGGCCGCGACCACCAACAAGAGGAAUCGCGAGGCGGCGGCGGCGGCACCAAGGGGAAGCCGCAGCCCGUCACUGCCAAGGAAAAGCGGGUCACAGCUAAGGAAGUGUCGGAGUCGAGGAAGCCCGACUACAACCUUAAGAAAGACAUCGAAGUACUAUGGGGAAAGAUGAUAGGUCGUCAUUUGAGCAAGGAGGAUAUAAUCAAGCUAGUUACCGAGGCCCUCCGUAAAAUGGAUUGGAAAUAUUUGGAAUUUCUGGAUCCCAUGUAAACGCAUCUGUUCUUCAACUAAGUUGCUGACACUCAUUCUUUAUGAAUGCGUUGCAUAUGGUGUUUUGGUACUUAUUCUGAUAGCCACCAUUUUUUGUCAGACAUGUGUGUAGUGGUUCUCACACUCAAGAGAGUGGCAAGGUUAGGACGCAUAUUAUCAGAAUCUUGAAGAAGCAGAUUAUGAAGCUUGAUGUCAGUGAUUAUGGAUGCCUUGUUCUAUUUGAAGAGCUGACAAAGCAGUUAAAGGAAAUCAUAUUGAUAAGCUUAAACAGGUCCAUCUUUGACCAAGUAUAGGACGGGCAGAUGUCGCGAAAGGAAUACUCAUGGUUUCUGAAGACUGACCAUGCUCCCUCGAGUACUACGCAGCAACAAACUCAGUAAAAAGAGGGCUCAGACAUGGCGACAAGAAUGAAGGUGGAGGGAAAGGAGUGGAGAGAAAGUAUUCUGGAGGUUGAUUUGAAUCCCCGGGUAUGUGGUUAUGCAUGAGCUGUGGAAGCAAAGGUGUGUGUCGGCUGGUUAUGCAUGAGCUGUGGAAGCAAAGGUGUGUGUCGGCUGGAGCUGAUUUACGGGGCUGUCAUUUGGAUGGUACCAAACUGUAAUAAUACAGACUCCCACUCAAAAUUUCACUGCACCAAAGGCUCUCGUCAGGAUGGCAAACCUAGGGAGUUCAGGCACCAUGAAACAUAACUUCCUUUGCCAUCGGAGAGAAAGAAGACGGUAGGCGCGCUCAGGAGAUGACGCAGCAACAACCGUCGAGCGGAGGUUGUGUUUGGAGGCGACCAGCAGAGGCUGCAGCUCCCACAGCUCGCGUGCGAACGAUGUGGCCGGACGACGAUUGAAGCGGCGUUUCUGUUUUGGCGGCGUGCUUUCGCGUGUGGAUGGAGCUCGUACGCCAGGAAGAACUGGCGUCUUGAUGGAGCUCGUACGCCAGGAAGAACUGGCGUUCGUUGGCGGGUCGAAGAAGUUUGAUUUUUGGUCGAUGGACCUCGUCCUCGUUCGUGGGUUGCGGAGCUGUUUUUUUGUUGACUGGGCGCGAUCGUGGGGUUCCAUGGACUUAUCGUUCGUGUGUUGAACUGUGGAUCUCGUACGUGGGCUGAGUUGUUGUAUUUUUUUUUGCGGGCGCUGAGUUGGUGUUUUUUCGUACGUGGGCUAUGUUGGUGGGCUGCUAUGUUGGUGGGCUGCUGCGUGCGUGUGGGAGUUCGAAGGGAGGGGGAUCGAACGAGGUCGAACCAUCACGACGUUCGAUCCCGCUUUAAUAGUAGAGAUUCGGGCAUAUGACGUCCAAAUGAGGCAUGUGAUUGUAAUAUGAUGUGUUUGUGAAAUGCGAGCAGUAGCCUUGUGAUUUUGAUAGCUCGGUGAUGGCGGGCGAAGCCACCAAGCAUCGACACACAUCCUAACCAAUUUGAUUUGGUGUCAUCUUGGAUCUGACUAAUGGAUUAAUAUUCUUGUAGGUUGAUUUGAAUCCCCGGGUAUGUGGUUAUGCAUGAGCUGUGGAAGCAAAGGUGUGUGUCGGCUGGUUAUGCAUGAGCUGUGGAAGCAAAGGUGUGUGUCGGCUGGAGCUGAUUUACGGGGCUGUCAUUUGGAUGGUACCAAACUGUAAUAAUACAGACUCCCACUCAAAAUUUCACUGCACCAAAGGCUCUCGUCAGGAUGGCAAACCUAGGGAGUUCAGGCACCAUGAAACAUAACUUCCUUUGCCAUCGGAGAGAAAGAAGACGGUAGGCGCGCUCAGGAGAUGACGCAGCAACAACCGUCGAGCGGAGGUUGUGUUUGGAGGCGACCAGCAGAGGCUGCAGCUCCCACAGCUCGCGUGCGAACGAUGUGGCCGGACGACGAUUGAAGCGGCGUUUCUGUUUUGGCGGCGUGCUUUCGCGUGUGGAUGGAGCUCGUACGCCAGGAAGAACUGGCGUCUUGAUGGAGCUCGUACGCCAGGAAGAACUGGCGUUCGUUGGCGGGUCGAAGAAGUUUGAUUUUUGGUCGAUGGACCUCGUCCUCGUUCGUGGGUUGCGGAGCUGUUUUUUUGUUGACUGGGCGCGAUCGUGGGGUUCCAUGGACUUAUCGUUCGUGUGUUGAACUGUGGAUCUCGUACGUGGGCUGAGUUGUUGUAUUUUUUUUUGCGGGCGCUGAGUUGGUGUUUUUUCGUA
This is an RNA transcript of Triticum aestivum (bread wheat), 2813 nucleotides long. It is a transcript of the gene named pumilio homolog 24, with no coding region annotated. Lineage: Eukaryota; Viridiplantae; Streptophyta; Magnoliopsida; Poales; Poaceae. The record is from RefSeq and is a predicted model, not a curated record. The transcript is spliced from 11 exons.